UGACUAAACACGCGUGAGGACUUGGAGAAUGAAUGUGUCUGCUAAAUCUUCAAUCUCUAUCAAAAAAGAGGUCAUCACCUGUAAAACCCUGCUUCCAAACGGGGUUUUAAAUAUCAUAAAAUAAUCCGAAAUAUUUUAAUUAAUUCCAAAUAAAAGUUUAAUUAAUCCCACAAACACUCAGUAUUCAGGAAAGAAACUAAAAUAGUACUUAUUACAACAAAGGUGAGGACAAUGACUACAACAUUUCACACUCUACGCACUCGUGCCUCGUCCUCGACGAGUUCUUUGUCUCCUGCCACUCCAGUUAGGCAAGGUUGCCUUCAUUCCCCGCAAUCAUGGCAUGCAUCCGUGAGUGAUUACAUCACUCAGUAUGUAAAACAUAGAUACCAACACUUGUCUAACAUUAUCUAUUAACAUAAUACAUAUGAGUAAGUAAACAUUCAGUCUAAUAGUAACAGUCAUUCAUCAAUCACAAACCCAUCUGGGUCGUCAUUCAUCAUUCACUAUUGGUUAGGUGCUAAAACACCUCGGUCAUAUCUCAUUCAUGUAUGCUUUCAUUCAUACAUACAGUGUUAUUCUUAUUCCCUUGUCCAUUCAUGUAUAUAUCCCCCCUAAUCCUAUUAACAUUUUAAAACAACAACAAGUAUUCGAAACAACCCACAAGAUAAAUAUCUUAAUUGCUAACACAUAUGCACCCCGAUAACAUGUUCAUUAUUUAAAACAAAAAUAAUUAAUCGAACCAGUCCACGUGAUAAUUAACUUAUAUGCAAUUCAAACAUGCAUCCGAUAGCAUUUUCGUCAUUAAAAACAGCAACAUAAAUACUACAACCCACGCACAUGAUAAGUAUCCUACAUGCUACAAAUAUGCAUCAUCUGAAAACAGAGAUAAAUAAGCCGCAAUAAAAUCGACAGCAACAAACUAAAACAACAAUAUAAUAUUAAACAUGGAUAGUUUAUAUGCAAAUCAAUCAUGCAUUCCGACACCUAAAGCCAACAAUAGAAUAAUAGACCCAACAUUCCAAAAAUAGCAACAAAAUAGAGAAAAAUAUGAUACUAAACUCAAUCAUCAACAGUGAAUCGGAGGCAACAAAAUAAGGUAAAUAUAAUAUUAAACUCAAAUAACCCAAUAAUCAACAGUGAAUCAGAAGCAACAAAAUAAAGAAAAUAUAAUAUUAACCUCACUUAACCCAAUCCUCAACAGUAAACCAACGAUAGUGAAAUCCAUGGAUCGGAUGACCCAAGGUGUUUGGGUACCUUACCAUUUCCCUACAUUAUCAUUUAGGAACAUAUUCAUCAAGAUCGGAUCUACUCCGAUACUUCUUUCAUUGAUCAUCUACCCUUCCUUUUCCAUCAACCAUAUCCCUUAUCUUACUCUCGAAUCUAACACUCUACAUACCUCCUCCGUUGUCCGUCGAGCUUCACACCUCCCACACCACGAUACCGGUGCUACCUUACAUAUCCAAGCCAUGCCCUAGCCGUUUUCCUUUCUCCCUCUCCUCCUUCGGUCGUUCUUUUUUAUUUCAUUCCUUCUCUAUUCUUUAUUUUAUUUAUAUUUUACCUUUCUACCCUUAAUCAGGUCACACACACUAACCCAUUAUUACAUCACCGGUG
RNAcentral lists this long non-coding RNA (1611 nucleotides) under Zostera marina. RNAcentral's name for it is "long non-coding RNA (ZMAR_LNC001746)". The record is from RNAcentral. Lineage: Eukaryota; Viridiplantae; Streptophyta; Magnoliopsida; Alismatales; Zosteraceae.